AACAGAGGUGCCAAGCGUUAGGCGGAAUCACUGGGCUUAAAGCGUGUGUAGGCGGAUCGUUAAGUACCUUGUGAAAUCCCACGGCUCAACCGUGGAACUGCUGGGUAUACUGGCGAUCUUGAGCCACCUAGGGGCGAGCGGAACAAGCGGUGGAGCGGUGAAAUGCGUAGAUAUCGCUUGGAACGCCAAUGGUGAAAACAGCUCGCUGGGGGUGUGCUGACGCUGAGACACGAAAGCCAGGGGAGCGAGCGGG
This 253-nucleotide ribosomal RNA is filed under the name uncultured bacterium. RNAcentral's name for it is "partial 16S ribosomal RNA". It matches the Rfam family "Bacterial small subunit ribosomal RNA", at positions 524 to 776 of the family's 1533-position model. The record is from RNAcentral.